UACGUAGGGUGCAGGCGUUAAUCGGAAUUACUGGGCGUAAAGCGUGCGCAGGCGGUUUGCUAAGAGAGAUGUGAAAUCCCCGGGCUUAACCUGGGAACUGCGUUUCUAACUGGCAGGCUUGAGUGUGGCAGAGGGGGGUGGAAUUCCACGUGUAGCAGUGAAAUGCGUAGAGAUGUGGAGGAACACCGAUGGCGAAGGCAGCCCC
RNAcentral lists this ribosomal RNA (205 nucleotides) under uncultured bacterium. Its description in RNAcentral is "partial 16S ribosomal RNA". It matches the Rfam family "Bacterial small subunit ribosomal RNA", at positions 524 to 728 of the family's 1533-position model. The record is from RNAcentral.